AAGGGUCCCCCUGAUGAGAACCCCUCAAACCUCCCCGCCUUUGAGUUAGGAGGUUCCCCAGUGGAACCCUCGCCCUUCAGGGCGGGGAGGAGGUCAGCUCCAGUACGGCU
This 110-nucleotide unclassified non-coding RNA is filed under the name Thermococcus thioreducens. RNAcentral's name for it is "HgcC family RNA". The record is from RNAcentral. Lineage: Archaea; Methanobacteriati; Methanobacteriota; Thermococci; Thermococcales; Thermococcaceae.